RNA transcript from Brassica oleracea var. oleracea, 942 nucleotides. RefSeq lists it as uncharacterized. NCBI's taxonomy places the organism in Eukaryota, Viridiplantae, Streptophyta, Magnoliopsida, Brassicales, Brassicaceae. The transcript has 8 exons. The record is from RefSeq and is a predicted model, not a curated record.
AUGGCGAGUUUCGAGGGAUUCGAACCCGUAUUCGGAGAAGUCGUACCCGAACGCUCGGAUCCGGGUUCGGGUCUACUCCGGCGGUGUCUCUUCCACGUCUACGCUUCCGAUUCGUUUCACCUCACCGUCCAUGUGACGGACUUUAUCUCCGGGGCCUGGGAGACGAUCCUCUCCGUCUCGCAGCUAGACGAUAUGAGGGAUACUGUUGGCAUUGGUGGAACGUGGUCUGAGUUCCUCGAUUACACUGUCGCUUCUUUGAAAUCCGAAAACGUGAAGCUUCUCCUUGGUGAUCAUUCAAUUUCCAAAGGUGUAGAGAGUGCGAGGUUAGUUUCUCAGAAGGCCAAAGGAAUGCCUCGCAUAGUUGUUACUCUAACAAAGAUGGCUGAAUCAUCUGCUAGUGAGGCAAUGGCAACUCUGUCUCUCGAGUUGUUCAGAUCAUUCAAGAGAAAGCAACACUUACAAGGGGAAACGAGCACUUCAGCUGCGGCAACUGAUGAAAAGGAUAAGAGGGACGCUUCCCAUAACCAACCGGAACGAUACUCUGGAAAACUAGAUGUUAUGGCUCCAUCAAUAGAUAACCGGCAAGACUCUCCCGCCAAGCAAUCAACUCGAGAAGCUAAUAUAAUAAAGCCUUCUAAACGAGUGCCUGCUCACCGGAGAACCCGUAAACGAGGUGCUCUUCUGCAGGACUCAGAUGAAGAGGACGGCUAACGCUCUGGAUCUCAUGGGGAGUUACGCUUAAUGCUCUUAUUAAUUUCCCAGUGUUUCCUCCAAGCACAAAUUAUUACGUAUCCAAGAUAUGAACAAAGCAUACACACCAGUUACCAGUUCAGACACAUACAGAUAGAGUACAGUUUGGGUUGUGCGUUUCAGAAAUGAGUUUCUCCUCUUCCAUGGCUUCUCUGACUGCCUUCAAAACGCAUGGCUUGAGUUUCUUGGUGG